UUGAUAGUUUACGUCAGCAGUAGUAGGAUAUCUCUUAAUGCAUUUUGGGCAGUGUCAAGAGUUAUCUUUAAAAACUCUAGAUAUUUAUCUCUUAGAUUUGCAAAAAAUGGGGGAAGGAAAAACAAGAAACGUUGCGAAGAAGAGGAAGGGGAUAUCUCAUAGCUUGCCUCGGCCCUAGCUGACGCGCUUCCUCAUACGGCAGCACGUCUAGGCUCGAUGGUGAACGAACCAUUUAAGUAGCAAUGCUUCAUUCUUCUGCCUUGGUUACUUCUCUCAACCCCUUCUUCAUAGAUCUAAGCCCACUUAUAACCAGCCUUCUCAGUUCCGCUUAUAACCACCGUGCAAGGAGUUCCUCAACCCUGCAAUAUGUCACUACUACCAAAAUCUGGUAUUGUAAUUGCGUAAUUAAUUAUGUUUUGCCUCAUCCCUAUGCAUCUACUAACUGGUGCUCUUAGGGAUUCUAUCUCUGUUACUUGCGGGAACAGUAAAAUUAUGGUCACUUCUGACAGCAACUUCUCCAAGAGAUAUAUUUUUCCCCCUUUUGUAUCAAUAGUUUGUUCUGAAUCAAUGGCAGUUCUAUUGUAAAUGUGGGUUUCGUAUAUGAUGAUGUUUGUAUAGUAGUUAAGUAUGAAAAUUAAUCACUAGGUUGAAGAUUUGUUACUUGUUAGUGUUUUAAAUGUUUACAAAAUAUUAGUUAUUGUGUGAUAAAUUAAUAUGACAUAUUUGGAUUUUGUUCUA
This is a long non-coding RNA of Cucumis melo (muskmelon), 738 nucleotides long. RefSeq lists it as uncharacterized. Lineage: Eukaryota; Viridiplantae; Streptophyta; Magnoliopsida; Cucurbitales; Cucurbitaceae. The record is from RefSeq and is a predicted model, not a curated record. The transcript has 2 exons.